RNAcentral lists this unclassified non-coding RNA (559 nucleotides) under Hevea brasiliensis (rubber tree). Lineage: Eukaryota; Viridiplantae; Streptophyta; Magnoliopsida; Malpighiales; Euphorbiaceae. The record is from RNAcentral.
UGCAGAGAAAUGCUUCAGAGAAUGGGAAUACGGUUGCUUAGCUUAUGAUAUCAGGAUUGCAAAUGUUCUCAUCAGAGCUUAUGCCAAAGAGGGAUUGCUAGAAAGGGCAGAAGAGCUGAAGGAGAGGGCGCACAAGAGAGGGGCCAAGCCUAAUGCUAAAACCUGGGAAAUAUUUUUGGGUUAUUAUUUGGAUAACGAGGAUAUCAAAUUGGCAGUUGAUUGUUUGGCCAAUGCAAUAUCUAUAGGUAGAGGGAAGGGUCAGAAGUAUGUUCCAUCACCUGAGAUUGUUGGGUCUUUCAUGGCACAUUUUGAGCAACAGAAGGAUGUUGAUAGAGCAGAAGGUUUUAUUGAGAUUUUGAAGAAGGCUGUGGAUAAUGUGGGGGCAAAUGUGUUCGAGUCAUUGAUAAGAACUUAUGCAGCUGCUGGAAGGACUAGCAGUGUGAUGCUUCGCCGACUGAAGAUGGAAAAUGUAGAGGUGAGUGAGGCAAGCCAGAAGUUGCUUGAAGUGAUAAGUGUGGAGUGAGUUUUAAUUGCUGUUUCGGUUUUAUUGUUAUAGUUU